This is a long non-coding RNA of Olea europaea var. sylvestris, 2639 nucleotides long. RefSeq lists it as uncharacterized. NCBI's taxonomy places the organism in Eukaryota, Viridiplantae, Streptophyta, Magnoliopsida, Lamiales, Oleaceae. The record is from RefSeq and is a predicted model, not a curated record. The transcript has 9 exons.
UUUUUUUUUUUUUUGCUGUAAUAUUCAUUGAUUUAAACAAAAAAUUCUUUGUAUUGUUGAAGAAAUCCAAAUCUGCAAAGAAAUCACAGAGGAUCAAUUAUCUGUUAAUGGGGUCUGGCGGUCGGGGUGGGGGUCCGUUAACUGACUCCCCAAACGCAGCCUUAGUAUAUCUUCCCGUACUUUUGGUUGUCUCUUACUUCAUACUUGCUUUACCUUUGUAUCUCCAUUUCCCUUGGACUCCGACAUCGACUUUGGGGACGGGACAGGGACGAAGAGGAUCGCGAUAUCAUCGGACUUCGACAUACACUCUGGGGAUGAGGGCGAAGGUGACGAAGACGAUGAAGAAGAAGGAUCCAUUGCGGAAGCCGGCGUGGCGAAAGAGGACCUGAAGCUCGAGAUCAAUGUCCGCAAGGCCUAGCAAAUCGGCGUAAGUGACCUUCUCGCUUUUGACCUCUGUCUUUACAGAAGGUGAGGCUCAGGGGCACCCCAUUAACAGUGGCAACAGCAAAGAAAGAGAGAGCAACCAUCGCUUUGUUCCUAAACCUGAUGAAGCCACCGGGCCAUUCUCAGAAGCUGUGCUUCUUAGAGAGGUAUUUUUCUUCUUCUAAUACCUUGACCACUACUUUGUUGGAGGUAUUUACAAUUUUAUCUUCAGAAGUACUUCAAUUACAAGUCUGACUGUGAAAUUUUUAGAGAGGGUGCAAUAUAUAUUUCAAAAUUAGUUCAAUUUCAAGCCACAAAGAUUUACUAUAGAAAUCAUUUUGCAUAGUUUGGUGGCAAAAUCUUUUUGUUUUAGCUAUAGCAGUUUUAGUUCAUUGAGCCAAGACGCGGAUAAACAUCAUAAACUGUAAAGUAGAAGCAUGGAGGAGUACUUUGGAAUUUAUAGGUUUUUUGGUUAAGUAGAACUAAAUACAUUAAUUGAAAUGUCCAUUUCGUUAAGAAGGAAUAAGGAUAAUAGCAACUUGAUUAAUUUACAUACCAACCUCACAUAAUGAAAUGGAGCAAUGCUACAAGAGUUCUAUAUUUUGUGAAAUAUGUACUCACUUUAAAAGGCAAUUGCCAACGCUUGUUAGAUCAACUAUACUUGUUCAUAAUAAAUUUUGUCCAUGAUAAAGGCAGUUGUUCUUAAGGCGAAUAAAAAUUUUAAGAUGGAUGUAUGGCCAUAGAAGAAUGGAUAAAAUCAGAAAUGAAUACCCAUGACAAGUCGAGGUGACUCCAUUGAAGAUAAAAAAGAAAAAAUGACGACUUGAAUUGUUAGAUAUGUAUUGUGUAAAUUCAGGGAAGUUCUUUUUAACAAGAAUCCAUGAGGUCCCAAAAGAAAACAUGUUAGAAGAGGGGGAUGUACACCAAAAUUAAUAUUUUAUGAUAAUUUGAUUAAAAUAUAUAGUUUUAUUGGACCAUUCAAUAAUAGUCACAGAUCAGAUGGUUGGAUGAAGGAAGACUCGUGUAGUCAACCCCAAGCUACUAGGACUUUUUCAGAACUUAUCCAAAAAGAGGUGUUUCUGGUAUGCAUUUUACUGUUGACUAUGAGAAUUAUAGGAACAGAAGAAGCUCUUACAUUUUGGAAUUAUUUCAGCCCCGAAUCUUUGACUCCAAUUUUCAAAAGAUUUUACGUGAAUGUAGAUUUUGGUUUUUAUUUCUGAGAAAAUUCAGGUAUGUUGGAAACAUUCACACCUAGGUGACUAAACCGCUUCACGAAGUUUUUGCAACUACUGGUCUUGUUCAAAGCUUACAGCUUGUUAGAAAGGAAAAGCUGGACCAUCCUGUAUAUUACAGAGAUCAACAAAGGGAACCAGUUUAACAAUAUGGAACUUGGAGGAAGGCUUUCCUUGGCACAGCAACAUUCUCAGCCAAACAGGCUUCAGCAUGAUCAUAACGUAUAGCAUAUAGCACGCAGGGCAUUAGAUGAGAAGGUUAAAGAGAUGAAAGACCAGGUAGUGAGGGCCAAAGCAUACUUGAAUUUUUUACCACCAAACAGCAGCUUUCAUUUUGUAAAGGAUUUGAAGCUAAGAAUUAAAAGAGGCUGAACGAGCUAUGGAUCAAAUCACCAAAUCUUAUUCUCUGUCUAGGAGGCAGUUAAGUUUCUAAAUAUGAUUAGAUUGCAUGGGAAGGUUAUACGAUGAAUAAGCAUCUAAAGAUGAGAAGUGUUGAUAUGGGAGCUAACCUGUACAUCGGAAACAUUCACCCUGUUGAGUUACUCAUGUACAAUUAAAAAUUGCCAAUUGAAGCCACUUCAUAAUAUUUGGAAGAUAUGGUGAUGGUGAGCCUACUGACAAUGCAGCAAGGUUCUACAAAUGGUUUAGAGGAAAAGGAUAGAGGAGAUUGGCUUAAGAAUCUUCUGUAUAAAGUUUUCAGCCUCGAAAACUGGCAAUAUGAACAUUUGAACGAUGUCUAACAUGUAUUUAACUUCUAUAUUUUAUUUCAUUUGAAUAAAUGGUGGUGGCUGUGCAAGGUUUGUUGAAUCAUGCUAAAUGUAACAUUUGCGGAUGUCUGGGUUGUAUUUAUCUUUUCAUUCGCAUCAGUUUUAUACAUUCCUGUCUUUCCACAACUGGAUUACGUACAUGUGUUUUGGAUCUUGUAAUGCUUGUUAUUGCAUUAAUUCUCUUGAAGGUUAUGAAAUUUGUAUUAGUUAAUCAGAA